UAGUAUGAAAGUGAGAUGGCUGAAUUAGAUGUUUGAGACUUCUGCUAACACAGUUUUAUAUACAAGUAUAAACAUUGAAACUAGAGAACAGAAGCGAAAUUGCAAGGUAAAGGUAAGAUGUGUGAAGUGAAAAUAAUAAGUAUUAACGAUAAGUAAAAUCACAGCGUUAGUGUUCGGUGAGAACGUGUCAGGAAUGCGAAAAAGUGUGGAAGUAGAAAUAAAGGUUGUCAAGGGGAGUUCACUCUAGCGAAAUUAAAAACGCAGACGACACUGGCUGACAUGACAAUCGAAGGAAGCGGACGUGUGCGUAUAGAGAAGAAGUUUCGAAGUCAGCGAUUAAGAAGUAAUUCUUUGCCUAACCAAGAUUCCACUCCGCCGUGCAUCACUCGCUUCGGCAGCGACCUUGAGCUACAUUGAAUAAACUGAAGUGAUGGUCACCCUUUUGCAGUUAAUUUCUGUGGCUCUCGAGCUGACCACCAUGCCACUGUCCGUCCGGCGACCCUCUGCUGGUCCACAGUCCGAGCCGCCUCGUGGACCACACGACGCAGGACAGGAGGACGAAGGCGACGGAAUGACAGAAACGAAG
Long non-coding RNA from Pomacea canaliculata, 586 nucleotides. RefSeq lists it as uncharacterized. NCBI's taxonomy places the organism in Eukaryota, Metazoa, Mollusca, Gastropoda, Architaenioglossa, Ampullariidae. The record is from RefSeq and is a predicted model, not a curated record. The transcript has 3 exons.